CCCACGGCCCCAAGGAGAAACGCAGCCCAAUGGGCGGUGACAGCGACCUGGAGCUGUUGGAGGGCAGCACCACGGGGGGGGAGGAGGAGGAGGACCCCCCUGCACCCCCCCCCACCCCCCGGGGGGGUCCCCUGUCAGUGUGAGGUGGGGGGGGGAGCAGCAGAAGAGACCCCCCCGAAGUUUGCAGCUGUGGAAGGAGAGAGAGAAGGGAUGGAGAAGGGAGAAGA
Molecule: long non-coding RNA, 227 nt
Filed under: Gallus gallus (chicken)
Lineage: Eukaryota; Metazoa; Chordata; Aves; Galliformes; Phasianidae
Source: RNAcentral